AUUGAACGCUGGCGGCAUGCCUUACACAUGCAAGUCGAACGGCAGCACGGGGGCAACCCUGGUGGCGAGUGGCGAACGGGUGAGUAAUACAUCGGAACGUGCCCUGUAGUGGGGGAUAGCUCGGCGAAAGCCGGAUUAAUACCGCAUACGACCUACGGGUGAAAGCGGGGAUCGCAAGACCUCGCGCUACAGGAGCGGCCGAUGUCAGAUUAGGUUGUUGGUGGGGUAAAGGCCACCAAGCCGACGAUCUGUAGCUGGUCUGAGAGGACGACCAGCCACACUGGGACUGAGACACGGCCCAGACUCCUACGGGAGGCAGCAGUGGGGAAUUUUGGACAAUGGGCGCAAGCCUGAUCCAGCCAUGCCGCGUGCGGGAAG
RNAcentral lists this ribosomal RNA (378 nucleotides) under uncultured bacterium. RNAcentral describes it as "bacterial SSU rRNA". It matches the Rfam family "Bacterial small subunit ribosomal RNA", at positions 29 to 410 of the family's 1533-position model. The record is from RNAcentral.